UGGGGAAUUUUGGACAAUGGGCGCAAGCCUGAUCCAGCCAUGCCGCGUGAGUGAAGAAGGCCUUCGGGUUGUAAAGCUCUUUCGGCAGGAACGAAAUGGUUCGUGCUAAUACCACGGACUGAUGACGGUACCUGAAGAAGAAGCACCGGCUAACUACGUGCCAGCAGCCGCGGUAAUACGUAGGGUGCAGGCGUUAAUCGGAAUUACUGGGCGUAAAGCGUGCGCAGGCGGUUUCUUAAGUCAGAUGUGAAAGCCCCGGGCUUAACCUGGGAACUGCGUUUGAAACUGGGAGACUUGAGUGUGGCAGAGGGGGGUGGAAUUCCACGUGUAGCAGUGAAAUGCGUAGAUAUGUGGAGGAACACCAAUGGCGAAGGCAGCCCCCUGGGUCAACACUGACGCUCAUGCACGAAAGCGUGGGGAGCAAACAG
RNAcentral lists this ribosomal RNA (428 nucleotides) under uncultured bacterium. RNAcentral's name for it is "bacterial SSU rRNA". It matches the Rfam family "Bacterial small subunit ribosomal RNA", at positions 355 to 775 of the family's 1533-position model. The record is from RNAcentral.